Molecule: long non-coding RNA, 6219 nt
Filed under: Malus domestica (apple)
Lineage: Eukaryota; Viridiplantae; Streptophyta; Magnoliopsida; Rosales; Rosaceae
Description: long non-coding RNA (MDOM_LNC003570)
Source: RNAcentral
UGGAAGCUUGUGCGAGUUGUUAUAAAAUGGGAAGCCCUACUGCUUACUCACCACCCAUCUUCUCCAAGAGAAAAGAAGAGAAAAAAAAAAGGAGCCAGUAAGGCUUCCCACACAUCAUUCUUUUUUUAGUAACAUUAAUAUUUGCAUUUGGUUGUCUUUACCAAGCAAUUCAGAGACAUGGGAUCAGAGAGCUCUCAGCCGUCUUCUCCUCCUCCUCCUCCUCCUCCUCCUCCUCCUUCACGUGGAGGUGAAGAACCACCCAAAAACUGUCCGGUGGAUUAUAGUUUAUUAAAUUUAGUAGAUAAGGAUGAUAAGCAGUGUUGGAAACCAGAAAGGCUCGACGACCACAUGACUGCUCUACACAGUAAAAGGCUGCCCAUAGGCAAAUGGUGAAGUGGUUCAUACAUAGGACGUCUUAUAUAUCGCGGUCUGCUGUCAACUAAUAACAUCAAUAUUAUUAUUAUGUAUAAUAAUUAAGCUAUUCCAUUAAAGUUCUAUAUAUGUACUUCCACAAUCCAGAGCUUAGCAGACCUGGUAUGUAUUUGUAAUUUUAGUGUGUGUAUAUAUAUAUUGAGCUCUUAAGAAGAAGAAAAAUCGAUAACUCGCUAGAUUUACUGCACAUUAUUGAAACAAGAAAUAACCGUCAACUUUAAAAUCUUGCAUGGAGAGAGAGUACCGGUUGUCGCGUGCACGUUUCAGCGUUUACUCGUGUAUUUUGGUUUCCGAUCGUGCCCCUACCCAGCUCUCUCCAGUCUCCACCAAGCUUUUUGCCAUUUUCAACUCAUUUUUUUUCUUCAUGCAAACUAAAGCCAAUAUUUACACUAACUAUUUUACGCUUGUUCAGGAGUUGGUAAGGUGCACCCGGAAUAGAAUACAACUCGUUUGAUAAUUAUUUUAAAGCAAGGCUUAGUAAUUAUUUCGUUUUAGGUUUUAGUUAUAAACUUUUACUUUUCGUGCUUAAGAAAUAAAAUGUGUAUUGAUGAAAAAGGGUGGUGAGAGCAACGGUGGGAAGAGAUAUUAAAAAAAAAAAUGAAUAAAAAAAAAUUCAAGAUUUUGAAAAGAACUUAAAAAUAGUUUUUUUAUUUUUUGUUUCAGUUUUCAAUUUCUUCACCCUUUUCUUAUAUAUUUUUUUUCUACGUCUACCAUCACCAUCCUUCCUAAAGUUUGGUGCCUACAAUGGAAGAUUUGCAGUCUUAUAAAUAUUCUUUUUCACGGCUAAUUCAUCUUUUACACUUAAUAAUUACGAAAUUUAAAAUUAUCCUAUAUUUCUGCAAUUAAAAUUUAAAAAUUAUCCAAUACAAUCCAAUCUUGAGUACAAAAACGAUUAUGCGUUUCAUUGACAAAGUCCAUUUGACGUCAGGUGAAAUCAUGAUGCUAUAUUGUGUGGGGGUUUUUGAUCACUCUCAAUUGCAUCGUAAUUGAGUGGCAGGCAAUAUCGUUUUGGGAUUAUAAGGAAUAUAUGCUGCAAGGAGUUGACGUGACAAGCAAGCAAUUUAGUGAGUGGUGCUAAAUCAUCAAGAAUAAAAGUUAACAGACUUAAGUAUAGUUUGGCAUUGAGUUGCUUAAAAAAAAAGCUGCUUAUUUUCAAAGUUUUUACGUUGAAGGUGUUUAGUAAACUAUAAAAAAAACAUUAUUUUAGAAGUUGUUGUGAGAAUAAGCUAAAAUCUUCAAAAAGGCUGAAGCAGCUAAAUGCUGCAUUGGAAAACUGAUUUUUUUUCAAACCGCGUGGAGCUACAGUGCUUUUAAAGUUCAAUAACAUCCUCAAACCAGAAAUGGUGCUCCUUUGCCGAUCUCCACAAAACCCAGAAACCCACCAGAAACAACUUUGCUGAUCUGCACAAGAAAUGGAAACACACCCAGAAACCCACCAGACUACCAUAGCCAAAACCAGAAACGAUUUUCCUUUGCCGAUCUGUGUGCUAAACUAGCCUUAACUUUCUAAGACAUUGGAUACAAACAUCAAAACCCAAAAGCCAAAAAUUGAAUAAAUAUCAGCUUUAAGAUUUCACCGCCAUCAAUUCUAUAAUUUGAUUAAACACAAUUCCAGAAAAAUAAACAAUCUGAGCCACUAAAAGCUUGAAACUUUAUCGAUUUUGGAAAAGUCGAAAAGAAAUCGUGGGCAAUUUGGGUUAAAAACUAAAUACCUCUGGUUCUCCGAAGGUCCGGACUGAAACUAUGGCCAUUGGGCGUCGGUGAAGAGAGACGGAGAAAGGGAGGGACUACAGAGAGGAGUGUUUUCUGUUGUCGAGGAUUACAGACAGGAAUUAGGAAGGAAGGUGGUGGGAGGAAGAAGGGUUUAGAGUUAAAAUGGGUUUUGAUGCCACUUAACAAAGGUGUUUUCUUAAUUAUUGAUUUAUUAAAUAAUAAACUAAAUUUAAAAAUCUGAUUAAUUCAAAUGAUAUGGCUGUCCACAUCAUAUGCCACCUAAGGUGGUAUAGAAAUGUGGUAUAAAACAUGGUAUGAAUAGCAUUACUCAAAAAAAAUAGGAAGACUUCUAGAGAGACUAUUAAUAAAUAAAAGACAUGGAUUAUUAAUAAAUGAAGAUGGAUAAAAGGAAGAUAGGGCUGGUUUAUUAUUUUACAUUUAACAUUAUACUCAUUUUAUAGUUUUUUUGUCAUUUCACACAGUCACAACUGUUUUAUAUAAAAGUUUACCAAACACUACCAUACUGCUUUUUUUUUUCCAAAAGAACUUUUUACAAAAAAAAAUUUACCAAACACUCUGCUACUUUAUUUCACAGCAGCUUAUUCUCAUAGCACAGCAGAAACAACUUAUUCUCAUAACACAGCAGAAACAGCUUAUUAUCAUAGCACAACAGAACAGUUGUUUUUCAAAGCACAGCAGAAACAAUUUUUUUUAAAGCACAGCAAUAUCAAACCAACCCUGAGAGACUAAUCCCAAAAACACAUUUAAUUUUCAGAUAACAAAUUUUCAUAAUCUAAAUCCACCAUAAUUACCAGUAACAAAACACAAAUCACAAGGUGCUACAACCAUACGGUACUCGACAGAAAAUUAACCCCAUCAUUCGAUCUACAACUAAAACGAUAUGUACAGAACAGGCUACAAACAAAGGUGUCAUCUAGGUGUAUCUAACCAGACUCAAAAAACAGAAGGGGGAGGAGGAGGAGGGGGAGGAAGGGAAGGGAGGGUAAGUACCCUAACUGGAGGCGGCUGUGCAACUACAAUUAUUGAACAAUGCCUCGCAUCCGUCUUUAAUUUUUGGCAGACCCGAUAACAUUUCAAUCCUUCGUUACAGAUUGGUUGACCUCUGAUGUAUUAUCUUUCUGGCUUGGCGGAGGCACGGAUUCUCCUAUUUUCAACUCCCCACUUUGUUGUUGCUGCUGCUGUUGCUGUUGCUGAUGAUGCUGCUGCAUCUGUUGCUGCUGGAGUUGAUGGAGCUGAUGCUGCUGAAACUGGUGCUGCUGCUUCUGAGAAUGAAUCUGGAGCUGUUGAAACUGCUGUGCAGUUAGAAGAGUGUGCAUUGCUUGAUUGUUUGGAUAGAACUGCUGCUGACCCGCCGCGCCAAAAGAAGCGUAGUUCAUCAUAGGUCCACCAUUUGGCAUAGCUUGGCCAGUCAUAACUUUCAGAUGCUGAAUUUCUUCUUUCAGUGCAUUGUUCAAUGCUACGAGACAAACAAAAACAAUAAUGUUUCGGCACAAUUUCAUUCACAUAAGGAUCAAGAACCAGAAGUUACACGGAAUCCGAUCAGCAAGAAAACCUAAAUUAUAGUAUUGUACUGAUACUACACAAACAAGAUGCUACAGUCUAAUUUGAGCAAAACUUCUACAUCGGAUGCUAAUUGGCUCUAAAAAUUAACCAUCCAAUACGAUGGCCAGUCCACUUCAGGUUAGCCAGCAUGUUGUUUAUGGCCUACUACAACAUUGAAAAUGGGCAUAAAUUCAAGGAAAAUCGUUCUUGUCGACAUCGGUGGGGGAGGCAUACCCAGCACCGCUUUGAUUAGCCACAGGAAACUAGAUCCAAUGACUGUACACAGGCUAUGAAUUAGAAGCAAAUAGAGAGACUAAGAACAAAAAUCUACUCAUUUGAUAGACAAGCAGUAAAAUGGUCAAGGCAAGUCUACAUUUACAGCUCAGUAAUAAAAGCCAAAAACACAUAAACCUCUCCGACUAAACAUUCAUCAUAAAGAUGCCAACUCAUGCAAUAUAAAUUUAAAAACACUAAUUUAGUACCUUCUGGAUAAGUUGAAGAAACAAUCAAAUCAAAUCAUAAACUAGUUUAGCACAUAAUUUAGUACCAUCUGGAUAAUUUGAAUAAACAAUCAAAUCAUAAACUCAUUGUGCAAUAGGAAAUGCCGAGGAACCAAAGUUCUUUUGCCGAAUCUUAUAACGUAGACUAUAAUAAAUUAGGUAUUUGGUAAAAGCAUAUGGUGCAAAAAGUCUUCAUCAACCAAAAUCAGAAUUAGCAACCAAUUUUUAUUCUGAGUUAGCAGCAGGAAACAAUGUCUGCCAACUUAACUUAUGGCAUCUUGGAUUCUAAUCUAACAAAAAAUCAAGUAUAUGUAUGCUAGCAUCUACUUAUUGGAUCGUCCAUUACGUACAAAGUUAUUGUGUGUCAGCGUGCUUGUAUCAUGCUUAAUUUCUCCUUUCAGCCAAUGACCACAGACAAUUCAAUAAAAUUAAGGAAAGAAAUAGAUUAUAUGAAAAUUAAUUCUAAUCAUGAAAAUUAUGUACAUUGUUUGCAAACGCAGUUUCAGUUCACUGUUCUCAGCAGUCAGACCAUUUGUAUCUCUCUGCUCAUAAAGAAAUCCAUAAGAAUAAUCGCUUGUAUCUCGUUAUGUAAGCUAGAUCAAACAGUCAUGUGAGUAGUGAAGUGAAAACGAAGGGAAUCAUAAGCAAAGACAUUCAUCUAAUCAGUCCAAUAAAGAGAACCUGGUCUAAUAAAGGAAUGGGUUAAGUGAAAUUUACCUGCAAGAGAGUCAAUUGAGCAGACAAGGAUGUUGCUUCUGUUUGCAACGUCUGGACUUUCUGUUCAAGCUCAGCAAUAUCUCGCAUUUUCCUUUCUUUUGACCUUGCAGCUGAAUGCCUAUUAGCCCGGAUCCUAAUGCAUGUCAACCAAAGGUAAAAUAUUAAGCAUAAUAGUUGAAGCAACGGGGCAAAACAAGGAGACAACGAACUCUUUUAUUUUCAUUUAAGAAGGGAAAAUGAAGAAGGGCAAAAACUAGAAAGCACCAAAGAAAAUCAGAUCCACUUCAAGGGUAACAAGAUGUCACAGGUGCAUUGUUGGAUUGUAUUGCACUUGGUUUGAUGUUAUUUUAGUCGACAAUGCAAAGAUUGGAGAAACAAAGAGGAUGGCACAUAUAACUGCCCCUCACCAUUGACCUUCUCAAAUUUGGAUCACUUAAGCAUUGGAUUGUAUUCAUUCUUCAUGUUAACUUUGUUCUGCAGGCUUCCUUCCUAUGGCUAACUUAAGCAUUUGAGUUAUUCUUUUUUUUUUCAAAGAUAUUUAGCUAUUUAAGUUUUUUUUUUGCCUGAUGUUGAACGAGAUUUUAAAUUCGAAUUAUGGUACCUAUUAUACAUGGCCGCACAUGGUGUGAAGAGAAUGAGCAUAUAUGCAAGUCCUCUUGUGGACCCGUAAAGGAAUGGGAAGCCCUACUGCUUAGUCCCCACCCAUCUUCUGCAAGAGAAAAGAAGAGAAAAAAACAAAUAGAGCCAGUAAGGCUCCCCACCCAUCAUUCUUUUUUUAGUAACAUUAAUAUUUGCAUUUGGUUGUCUUUACCAAGCAAUUCAGAGACAUGGGAUCGGAGAGCUUUCAGCCGUCUUCUCCUCCUCCUCCUCCAUGUGGAGGUGAAGAACCACCCAGAAACUGGCCGGUGGAUACUAAUUCAUCAAAUUUAGUACGUAAGGAUGAUAAGCAGGAUGGGAAACGAGACACCCCCUCCUACAUAUGCAGUAAAAGGCAACCCAGAGGCAAAUGGUGAAGUGGUUCAUACAUAGGACGUCUUGUAUAUCGCGGUCUGCUGUCAACUAAUAACAUCAAUAUUAUUAUUAUGAAUAAUAAUUAAGCUCUUCCAUUAAAGUUCUAUAUAUGUACUUCCAGAAUCCAGAGCUUUGUUAUGUUUGUCCCCUAGCAGACAUGGCAUGUAUUUGUAAUUUUAGUGAAUUUUAAUUUUAGUGUGUGUGUCUGUGUCUCUGUGUGUGUGUAGAGCUCUUAAGAAGAAGGAAAAUAGAUCACUCACUAGAUUUAUUGUACAUUAUUGAA